GGAUUUAAAAAAAAAAAAAUCGGGUCUGCUUCUCUUUCUUCAACACAAGCAGUAUUCUUUCUCCAUGAAAACCAGCUCAAAGGUCCCAAAUACCAUAUAAAGCUCUGUAAACACCAGCUCUAAAACCAGCCUUUAUCAGUCACAAAGACCACCUGAAAAUACAAGAAAACAGCCACCAAAACCUCCUAAUACUACCUCAAAUCCCUUCCCAAUACAGCAGCGAAAAUCAGUCCAAACACACCUCACAAAACAACUCCAUAACCAUCGAGUGCUAGUAUCGAAAUCUUGGAGUUUCGAGGUUACAUAUUGUUGGUUCUGUUUUGUAGUUCGAGAGGUCCGUCGAGGUUGCCGCCGGCAAAGGUUUAUGUAAAGUUUGAUCCAGUCAAUAUAGAGGUCCAUUUCCAAUCUAAUCUUUUAUCCUUCAAUGCAUUUGGAUCUAGCAAAAGAAAUUUCGUUAGCUGUGAGUAGUGCAGGUUGUUUGCGUUCCAUAUUUUUGUCAUGCUUUAAAGUCUAAUUUGAUCCUUUAACUUGGUACCAUGAUAUUCGCUACUAUAAUUUUAUUUGUAUUAUGAAUGUUUUAAGUUAAAUGAUAUUCUUGUUAGUACGUAGUUGCAGGUGUGUUAAAGUCAUGAAUAUAUAAACAUAUUAUUUCUAUAAUCUGAUGUCAUAUGUAUAAAUAGAAGAAUAUUAUUCCCUUUAUUAGCUAAAAGGGAAACAAAAAUUGAAAUUUGUUAGAGUUAAGGAUGUGUAGGCUAGUUGCUAUAGAAUUUUGGGCCAAAUAAAUGGGCCAUUGGUAUUGGAAAUCGGAUAUAAGCUUGGAACAAGAAUGAGGUUUUGGUUCAAAUGAGUCGCAUUGCACCAUGGCUUUUAGGUUAAACACUGACUUAUUUCAUCGAUAAUCCAGAACACCGAAUUACUCAAAAAAUACUAGCAUGCCUUUAUGCACGUUCUCGUAACAAAUAUAUCAUAAUUAUGUACAUGUUCGCGUGAUAUGAUUAUGAUUUUCAAAAAUAAAAUUAAUGUAUGUGUUCGCGCAACUUUGGGCGAAACAAUCUUAAAAAUAAUAAAAUAUUAUUAAUUGUGUACACGCACGCGUGACAUGAUUCCUGACAUAGCAUGCAAAUAGAAUACACGUACGCAUGAUUCGUUUCAAGAUAAUUCCAUAGUUAAAAAUAAUCAAGGAAUUAAAAGCGACUUUAAGGCAAAAGUGCAUAAAUUUCUGUAGAACAUAAAAUAUCCAGAAUUAGUUAAGCCAAGUAUAAUUAUUUAAAGCGACCGUGCUAGAACCACGGAACUUGGGAGUGCCUCACACCUUCUCCUGGGUUAUCAGAAUUCCUUACCCGGUCUUCUAUGUUUCGCAGACUUAAUCGGAGUCAAUUUCCUUGAAUUGAGAUUUUAAAAUAAAUGGUGACUUGGGACACCAUAAAUAUUUAUUCCAAGUGGCGACUCUUCAAAUUAAAAUAAAUUAAUCCUUUUUCAAAUAAUGUCACUUAAAUUGAAAAAACUCCUUUCUUUCCUAUCCCCUGCGGUAAAAAGGAGGUGUGACAGCUAUGACGACUCUGCUGGGGAAAAUAAGAUUUCGAGCUUGUAAUGUGAUCUAUACUUGGCUUUAUUAAUUUAAUGUUAUUACUGUGUUUUAGGGCCUAAUGUGCUAAUUGCCACUUAUUUACCGCUUUGAUAUUAUUUGAAUUGUAUUAAACUGUCUUCUUACGCCUCCCUUCUGAGUCUUCUGAAUUUAUGGUGCACACGUGCGCGUGGACCACUUUUCUAUUAGAAGUCAUACCAAUUAGAACGAGGCUGGGACAAGUAACUAGGCUGGGUAGACUUUCGUGCUCCCGUUACGUUGCCCCCACCUUGGCUCGAGCUGUCCGCUUGGGUAAGCCAGGUCUAAAACACUCCCUCUAGGAUUUAAACCUAGAAUAACAUAGCCUCAUGCCGGAUCCCUAGUAGGAACAUCUGUUUGCAUCAUGUGCGUUUGACUUUGGGGACUCAACAUAGGGAUUGGGUCCGUCUAGGACAGGUGUACUCGAGAAAUGCAAGACCAUCCUGAUGCACCUUAUGUGCUACUUGUGCAUUAUGUUUGAUUCGGUUUGUGCAUGUUGACCAGUUUCUAAAAAUUAUAUAAAAAGAAAAAUAAAAAUAUAAAAAUUGAGAAAAACCAGAAGGGAGAAAUAGGAGAGAGAAAAUUUACCGGGUAUUUACCCCAAAAAGAUUAUUACAAAAUAAGCCUGAAUUUUUCAAAAAGUGUCAUCCUAUUCCUAAAAUAUUUACGAACUACGCGGGUCUGAUUCACACCGAAUGUGAGAUACGUAGGAAACCUUCAUCGGGUCCGGCCCCUAAUUUUCAAAAAAUCCAAAAGUAUUUUUCACCCUUUUUAAAAGUCUUUCUCCCAAAAAUUCAAAAAAAAAAUCGAAAUCCAAAAAAUAUUUCUUUCUUUCGAAAAUUACCAAAAAUUAAAAUCCAAAAAUAUUUUCUUUCUUUUUUAAAAGUCUUUCUUUCGAAAAUAUUAAAUAAUAAAAAGAGAUAGAGAAUUCAAAGUUCAAAAAUAUUUUCUUUGUUAAGAGCUUUUACGAAUAGAUUUUUUUAAAAGUAAAAAAAAGAAUUAGUUUAUUUAUUUUGUUCCUGAUCUUCUCGAACUACGCAAGAUCUGAUUCAUGUCUCCACAUGAUACGUAGGCAACCCACAUCAGGUUCGAUCGAAUCAUUUUGAAAAAAAAAAGUUAAAAAGAAAAGAUAAAAAGUGGUAAAAAAAAGGAAAAAAAAGAGUGUUUAUUCUGUUGUUGAUCCAAGGUCACGAAAAGGCAAGUAGGCAAGUUGGCAGUAAAAAAUAAAAAAAUAAAGGCAAAUGUAGGGUCGACUUUACCAUAUUUGAGCAAUAGCACAUGGCCUGCUCGGGAUGAUUUGCUGACGGAGAAUUUGAUCCAGCAUUGAAAGCCAUAGUAGCCAUUGCCGCGGCAGAAGAGAAACAAAAAAAAAACAGGCCCCAACCCAGAAACUUUCCCUAUCAGACGGGAGUCUCGGUAGCCGGUGUUGCUAUCUUUUCUGCCUUUCGAGUUAUUUCAGUGUGUCAUCCCAAUGUUUUUUUACUGUCUUACAUUCUUGUGUAAACUCCUCUAUCUUUUUUCUUUAAAUAUUCAGAUAAAUGAAAUCAAUAUUUCAUCAUCCAUGAAUGUCGCUUUUCUUAAUCUUGUCACCUUUCUUAUUCUCUUUUCAAUUCGAUAAAUGCAGAUUUUAAUAACAUGACAUGCUUGCGGACUUUAUGCUCGGGUCCUAAAAUAUUGUCAGAUUUCGAAAUAAUGAACCCGGAAGCAUAAUGUGUUGAAGAUAAGGCUUGUAAGAAAAUAAACAAAGAAUUGAAACAAAAUUGAGAUUCCCUCUCUUCGGAUCAUUAUUGAAGUCGAGAUCGCUAAUGAAGAUUGAGCCAAGACUCGAUUGAAAUCUUGUCUUUGAUGAAUGGAAAGUGAUUGGCCGGAGGCUACCAUGGGCAGUUGUACAACAAAGAAUGACCCAUGCUUACAACAAGAAAGUACGUCCCAAGAAAUUUGAAGUGGGGCAACUCGUCCUGAGACAUAUUCGCCUGCACCAUGAAGAAGCUAAGGAAAAAUUUGCUCCAAAUUGCAAAGGUUCAUAUGUUAUAACAAGAGUAUUGCCAAAUGGAUCGUUGUAUUUGGAAGACAUCGAAGGAAAUGUCCUCGAGACAAUAGUCAACGCAGAUGCAGUCAAAAGUUCCAAUGUUUAACUCAUUACUUGGUGUUAAUAUUUUCUGAUUGGUAUGACGGAGGCUUUCUUUCUCGCUACCCAAAUACCAUUAACCUUUUUGCAAACCCUUUGAGUUGGUUCCCUAUUUUUUAUUACCUCUUUGAAACCUGGAAGUUAUUAUUAAAAAUGACAAAGAAAAUAAAAAAACAAAAGAAAAAGAAAAAGGGAGAAAAUAAAAAAAAAAGCAAAAGAAAACAAAAAUGAAAACAAAACAAAAUAGAACAAUAAAAGAAAAUCAAAAACAAAGUUCUUUGAAUUACGUUCGACUUGAUUCUGAAAGGAUACGUAGGCAACCUCUCUCUGAGGUUCAGUCAUACAAAAAUAAAAAUUCAAAUUCCCCAAAAAGUGAAAUUGAGGCAGAUAUUAUAAUGUUUCGAUAAUUGUUUUGCCUGAAAGGUUCCAAAGUUGUAAUUCAGUCCAAAUUCUUUUUAACCAAAUCCUUUUCAAGUCCUUCUGAUCAAUGAACGAGAAUGUUUACAGAAUUAGAGGAUACAAUCGUUUGGAUCUGAUACAAUCAAAAUAAGAGAAAUAAAAUGAGAGAGUCUUAUUAGUGAAAACCCUCGCGGGCACCGUAAGGUGAUGGUAAGCAGAGAAAUUAAAAUGAGAGAGUCUUGUUAGUGAAAACUCGCAAAGAGCACUACAAGGCGACUGUGAGAAGAGAAACGAGAGAGAUUAGCGGGUUUUAGCUGGUGAAAACCCGCAAAGGGCGCCACUGUUCAAAAGAGGAUCCUCAUGACCGUUGGGCAUCAACAAAACCCUGGCAAGGUUUCUUGGUUUGAAAACAUGAGUUGUGAUGAAUUUCUGAGAGUUGGACAGUUUACACAGACUAGGCAUCCAGUCCAAGAGGCAUGUCAUGUUCAUUGAAGUCUGCAUGUACUCCAGAUAAGUCCUUCUUUCCUUUCCCCAAAAGGGAUACCUCUCGUCUAAGUUCAUUUGUCCAUUUCAUUGUUUGUUUUUCUUUGAAUCCCUUUCGGUCUAAUUCUGCUAUGAAACUAAGACAAAGAAAGGAUGACAAGACAGAUUUAUAGAGUUCUUGUUUGAAGCGAGCUAAUAUAUUCAAAAGGCGCUCAACCUCGACAAGGGCAUCAAGUCAACCUGACUGGCCAUGAUUGGCCGAUGUUUUGAAAUGGAAAACUGUGAAAGAAGUCAAAAGAAAAAUGCUCACAAAGGCAACAUAAAGUUUAAAAAGGUUAAGUACCGUCAUUGCAAAGUUUGAAAAAGCCAAAGGUUCUCCAGAGUCAAAAAUGCAGUUGGUAUUAAGGAAAUAAUCAGUUGCAAUUGAAACCAUUAAAGAAGAUGAGCCAAGAUCAAAAGAUUGAAAUAAUCAAGGCCACAAACCGACCUCCAUUUUAAAACUAACAAAUCUUUCUUUGUUCAGAACAGGAAUAGAACAAUUUUAAGAAACAGUUCGUGGCAGGACGAACAUCACCAAGUGAAGUUCUCAAGUCCUUGAUUUCCUUCUAAUAUACAUGUAAUUAUUUUAUUUUUAGUUUCAUUAUAAGGAACCAAUACCCUAUCUUCAACACAGAGUACUACAUCCCCUGUCUGCAUUACUUUCUACCUACAUAGGAUACGACAUUCUCUAGUAGCAUCUAGAGAGCCAAGAGCCUCAUUUUAUUGCAAACAUAUGGUACUACAUCCCCUGGUUGCAUUAUUUUCUGCCUCUAUAGGGUACGAUAUUCCCUAGUUGAAUCUUAUAGAGCCAACAACCUCACCUUAUUGCCAACACUGGGUACUACAUCCCCUGGUUGCAUUUUUUGUUGCAAACAUAGGGUACGACAUUACCUAGUAGCAUCCCGAGUGCCACGAGCCUCACCUUAUUGCCAACACAGGGUACUACAUCCCCUGGUUGCAUCACUUAUUGCUAACAUAGGGUACAACAUUCCCUAGUCGCAUCUUAGAGUGCCACGAUCCUCGUUUUAUUGCCAACAUAGGGUACUACAUCCCUUGGCUACAUUACUUUCUGCCAAUAUAGGGUACGACAUUCUCUAGUAGCAUUUCCGAGUGCCACGAGCCUCACCUUAUUGCCAACACAGGGUACUACAUCCCCUGGUUGCAUCACUUAUUGCCAACGUGGGGUACGACAUUCCCUAGUCGCAUCUUAGAGUGCCACGAGUCUCAUUUUAUUGCCAACACAUGGUACUACAUCCAUUGGCCACAUUACUUUCUACCUAUAUAGGGUACGACAUUCCCUAGUAGCAUCUCAGAGUGCGACGAGCCUCAUCUUAUUGCCGACACAGGGUACUACAUCCCUUGGUCGCAUUACUUUCUACCUACAUAGGGUACGACAUCCCCUAGUAGAAUCUCAGAGUGCCACGAGCCUUAUCUUAUCAUCAACACAGGGUGCUACAUCCCCCGGUUUCCUUCCUUCUUGUUAACACAGGGUACGUCUUCCCCUAUUAUUUAAAAAAUGCAUGUUUUUUUAAUUCUUUAUUCUGCAAUAGCAAAGAUAGUUUCAUGUGUUUUCAAUAACUCACAAAAAUUUCCUAGUGCAACAAACUGAGGCAGAAAAUUUUUGUUCGUUUUGUUUGUUUGUGUUGGCUUGUAGGUUUUUCUGCAAAUCAUAGAUUGGAUAUGCAAGAAUAAGAUUUCAGUUCUUUCCAGAGAAAGUAAAACAUUUGAUCCACAACUAGAUGCAAUCUGCUUUGACGUAAUUCAUGCAGAGACAUAUGGUCAAGAUCC
This 6440-nucleotide long non-coding RNA is filed under the name Nicotiana tabacum (common tobacco). Its description in RNAcentral is "long non-coding RNA (NTAB_LNC001569)". Lineage: Eukaryota; Viridiplantae; Streptophyta; Magnoliopsida; Solanales; Solanaceae. The record is from RNAcentral.